UCGACUGGUUGCCGACGUUUGGCCUUUGAGCAUAUCAGUAUUGUUCGCCCGACUCGUUCGCAUUUCACGAACACCGGCGGUCUGAUCCACCGCAAGGGGUGUUCUUUUCCGGAAAAGUGGUUGCAGGUGCCAACCCGUGAGCCUUAGAGGGGUUAUAUGCAUGUUAGAGCGGCAGUGGUACUGUCGGGAGGUGUUGCGGUGCGGACCUCCAGGGCACAGGCUUGAGGUUUGCGGUGCGGACCAACAGAGCAGCAUAUUCCAGAUUGGGUAUAUUUGGUCUAUACAUCCGGUUGACGCAUAUGUCUAUGGUAGCAGUCGUUGCAUGCAUACUUACAGUUCUUGCUUUACAGUUGUCUUGCUACUAUAGUAGAUAUCCAUGUUUGCUUCCUGUUCUAGUUACGGUAGCGGUAGCCGUUUAUUCUGUUAUAGUUCUACUUCAUUUCAGUUUAUUGCUACUGCAUUCAGUAUAUCUGCUCAUUACCUUGUUUAUCUCUUCCUGAUCCGGUGAGUACUCCUCGCCUUCUUCGGCUUGCGGUACCCACUGGGAGAGGAGACAUGUUUACAUGUUCUCACCUCCCCCACUAUUUUUCAGGUAUCGCGGGCGGUGAGGUUGAGACGAGACGUGAGACACGUGGAUAGCUGUCGUUAGAGCCUCCGACCCAGUUUGUACUAUUUAGUUAUUACCCUAUUAUUUCUGGUGAUAUAUAGCUUAGUCGGUCUAUAUGGUUCAGUAUUUCAUUAUGUUAAAAUAUUCAAGGAUUUCUAGAUUUUCGUAAAUAAAANNNNNNNNNNNNNNNNNNNNNNNNNUCCCAGCCGACCCCGGUGACCUCCGGCGUGCUUCCCCCGUCGUCCCCGCACGCCGCCGGCCGCCGCUGGGAGCUCCUGCACCCGUCCAGACUCGUGCGGGCCAACCUUGAAGCCGCGCCGCCCCCGAGCACCGCCGCCGCCCACCUUAGGGUGCACGGCCUUCCCCUCGGCCUCCGGCGCCGAUCGGUCGCCGUCCCGAGCUCCUCCGACCGCCGCCUCGCCGCCGGCACCCUUGAACCCGAGAGGAGCUGUGCGGGCUUGAUCUUCGCCGCCGCGCCACCGACUGCCACCCGCCGCCUGCCAGCACCACCUCCGGACCCCUCGGACCGACUGCUCCCGUCCCCGGUAGGGGCGCUCGCCGUCCGGCCGCCGACGGCCAGCCCUAGCUUCCACUGCUCC
RNAcentral lists this long non-coding RNA (1206 nucleotides) under Ananas comosus (pineapple). Its description in RNAcentral is "long non-coding RNA (ACOM_LNC001910)". Lineage: Eukaryota; Viridiplantae; Streptophyta; Magnoliopsida; Poales; Bromeliaceae. The record is from RNAcentral.